This 606-nucleotide long non-coding RNA is filed under the name Heterocephalus glaber (naked mole-rat). RNAcentral's name for it is "lncRNA (ENSHGLG00000048165.1)". The record is from RNAcentral. Lineage: Eukaryota; Metazoa; Chordata; Mammalia; Rodentia; Bathyergidae.
CUCGGGGAGCCCGCAGUGUCCCCGGGGACUGCAAGUCAGAAGCGUGCGGGUGGCGCUGGCCUGGACCCCGAGCCUCAGGGACCCCGCGUGCCGCGUGCCAGCGGCACCGGGAAGCCUGCGGCGGUCGGCGGGAUCCUGGCGCCGGUCUGCGGACUGGUCCUGAGAGCAAAAAGGGACCUUCACCAGCAACAUGUUUUGUGGAGAUAAGAGUUCUGGAAUAAAGUGAAUAUUUGACAUAAAUGAUGCACAAUAAUGUCAAGAUCAAAUAUUAAGAAAUGAUGAAGGGAAAGUGAACUCCAGUGAAGGACAAACAGGCAGAAGUCGCCAGCCAGAGGUAUCUUAUUAAAAUCUUAAUGAGCUGAACUGCUUACAGUGCAGGGAUAACAUUGUCCUCUAAUACUGUCUUCCAAUUAAUUAAAAGCAACAUCUUGCCUUAUGGCUGCCAAUUUUGAAGUUUUGGUUUUAUGUUGUUCUUGCUCGCAUUUUGAUCACUUCAACAAAAAAAAAAAACCAAAAUAAAGGAGAAUAUUUUUAGAAACUUGAAUAAAAAUGGUCAAACAAAAACAAUUAGAUAUCGUGUAAAGAAUGCAACAUUUUGCUGGACCA